AUUCCAGCUCCAAUAGCGUAUAUUAAAGUUGUUGCAGUUAAAAAGCUCGUAGUUGGAUUUCUGGGAGGGUGCCGCCGUCCGGCGUGUCCGUGUGCAGUGGCGCCCUUCCAUCCUUCUGUUAGCGUCUCUUGGCAUUCAUUUGCUGGUGGCGGGCUCAGAUAUUUUACCUUGAGAAAAUUAGAGUGUUUCAGGCAGGCUAGGCCGGAAUACAUUAGCAUGGAAUAAUGGAAUAGGACUACGGUCUCUUUGUUGGUUUGAGGGACUGCAGUAAUGAUUAAUAGGGAUAGUUGGGGGCAUUAGUAUUUAAUUGUCAGAGGUGGAAUUCUCAGAUUUGUUAAAGACUAACUUAUGCGAAAGCAUUUGCCAAGGAUGUUUUCAUUG
This 381-nucleotide ribosomal RNA is filed under the name Spirotrichea sp. RNAcentral's name for it is "partial small subunit ribosomal RNA". It matches the Rfam family "Eukaryotic small subunit ribosomal RNA", at positions 582 to 975 of the family's 1831-position model. Lineage: Eukaryota; Ciliophora; Spirotrichea. The record is from RNAcentral.